This 72-nucleotide transfer RNA is filed under the name Actinomycetota bacterium. RNAcentral describes it as "tRNA-Val". It matches the Rfam family "tRNA". Rfam says of the family: Transfer RNA (tRNA) molecules are approximately 80 nucleotides in length. Their secondary structure includes four short double-helical elements and three loops (D, anti-codon, and T loops). Further hydrogen bonds mediate the characteristic L-shaped molecular structure. tRNAs have two regions of fundamental functional importance: the anti-codon, which is responsible for specific mRNA codon recognition, and the 3' end, to which the tRNAs corresponding amino acid is attached (by aminoacyl-tRNA synthetases). tRNAs cope with the degeneracy of the genetic code in two manners: having more than one tRNA (with a specific anti-codon) for a particular amino acid; and 'wobble' base-pairing, i.e. permitting non-standard base-pairing at the 3rd anti-codon position. Lineage: Bacteria; Bacillati; Actinomycetota. The record is from RNAcentral.
GGGCGGUUAGCUCAGCGGGAGAGCGCUGUCUUCACACGGCAGAGGCCACUGGUUCGAUCCCAGUACCGCCCA